GAUGAACGCUGGCGGCGUGCUUAACACAUGCAAGUCGAACGGAAAGGCCCAAGCUUGCUUGGGUACUCGAGUGGCGAACGGGUGAGUAACACGUGGGUGAUCUGCCCUGCACUUCGGGAUAAGCCUGGGAAACUGGGUCUAAUACCGGAUAGGACCACAUUUUGGAUGGUGUGGUGGAAAGUUUUUCGGUGUGGGAUGAGCUCGCGGCCUAUCAGCUUGUUGGUGGGGUAAUGGCCUACCAAGGCGUCGACGGGUAGCCGGCCUGAGAGGGUGUACGGCCACAUUGGGACUGAGAUACGGCCCAGACUCCUACGGGAGGCAGCAGUGGGGAAUAUUGCACAAUGGGCGCAAGCCUGAUGCAGCGACGCCGCGUGGGGGAUGACGGCCUUCGGGUUGUAAACUCCUUUCGCUAGGGACGAAGCGUUAUGUGACGGUACCGGGAGAAGAAGCACCGGCUAACUACGU
RNAcentral lists this ribosomal RNA (465 nucleotides) under uncultured bacterium. Its description in RNAcentral is "partial 16S ribosomal RNA". It matches the Rfam family "Bacterial small subunit ribosomal RNA", at positions 28 to 506 of the family's 1533-position model. The record is from RNAcentral.